AUGACAGAUCUCUAUAACCCGAAUAAAAGUGAUUUCACAAGGAAUAGGGCCCUUCUUACAAAGACAGCCGUGUCUAUCGGGGUUUCAGGCCCCACUGAGAGCUCUGUCAUCUGCCAAACCAAAAAGAACAGACAGAAGGAGGUGCCUGGGGUCAGAAGCACCUCGCAGUGCGCACAGUACUUGAUUCUGGGUAGGAAGCUCCAGGACACCCGAGUUUGCAGAGGCCAGGGGCAGCACAGAGGCCAGGGGCAGCAGAGGCCAGGGGCAGCACAGAGGCCAGGGGCAGCAGAGGCCAGGGGCAGCACAGAGGCCAGGGGCAGCACAGAGGCCAGGUGCAGCAGAGGCCAGGUGCAGCAGAGGCCAGGGGCAGCACAGAGGCCAGGGGCAGCACAGAGGCCAGGGGCAGCAGAGGCCAGGGGCAGCACAGAGGCCAGGGGCAGCAGAGGCCAGGGGCAGCACAGAGGCCAGGGGCAGCACAGAGGCCAGGGGCAGCAGAGGCCAGGGGCAGCAGAGGCCAGGGGCAGCACAGAGGCCAGGGGCAGCAGAGGCCAGGGGCAGCACAGAGGCCAGGGGCAGCAGAGGCCAGGGGCAGCACAGAGGCCAGGGGCAGCACAGAGGCCAGGUGCAGCAGAGGCCAGGUGCAGCAGAGGCCAGGGGCAGCACAGAGGCCAGGGGCAGCACAGAGGCCAGGGGCAGCAGAGGUCAGGUGCAGCAGAGGCCAGGUGCAGCAGAGGCCAGGGGCAGCACAGAGGCCAGGGGCAGCAGAGGCCAGGUGCAGCAGAGGCCAGGGGCAGCAGAGGCCAGGGGCAGCAGAGGCCAGGGGCAGCACAGAGGCCAGGGGCAGCACAGAGGCCAGGGGCAGCAGAGGCCAGGGGCAGCACAGAGGCCAGGGGCAGCAGAGGCCAGGGGCAGCACAGAGGCCAGGGGCAGCAGAGGCCAGGGGCAGCACAGAGGCCAGGGGAAGCAGAGGCCAGGGGCAGCAGAGGCCAGGGGCAGCAGAGGCCAGGGGCAGCACAGAGGCCAGGGGCAGCAGAGGCCAGGGGCAGCAGAGGCCAGGGGCAGCAGAGGCCAGGGGCAGCACAGAGGCCAGGGGCAGCAGAGGCCAGGGGCAGCAGAGGCCAGGGGCAGCACAGAGGCCAGGGGCAGCAGAGGCCAGGGGCAGCAGAGGCCAGGGGCAGCACAGAGGCCAGGGGAAGCAGAGGCCAGGGGCAGCAGAGGCCAGGGGCAGCAGAGGCCAGGGGCAGCACAGAGGCCAGGGGCAGCAGAGGCCAAGGGCAGCAGAGGCCAGGGGCAGCAGAGGCCAGGGGCAGCACAGAGGCCAGGGGAAGCAGAGGCCAGGGGCAGCAGAGGCCAGGGGCAGCAGAGGCCAGGGGCAGCACAGAGGCCAGGGGAAGCAGAGGCCAGGGGCAGCAGAGGCCAGGGGCAGCAGAGGCCAGGGGCAGCACAGAGGCCAGGUGUGGCAGUGGCCACGUGCAGCAGACAGGGCACAUGCAAGAGAGGCCAGGUGCAGAAGAGGCCAAGUUCAUGAACAUGGCAGAAGCCAAGUUCAGCAGACAGGCCAGAUGCGGCAGAGCCAGGCGCGGCAGAGACCAGGUGCAACCAGAAGUUUCACGCGGCUACAUCUCCCGGGGGGGCUUUGCAAAUCCUCACCGGACGUUCUGCGUUGUGCUUCCGAAAAGCCACAGGGGCUUCCCGCGAACCGCAGCGGCGCGGGUGCAGGCGGCGACAGCUCCCACUGAAGGCCCCUGCAGUGUCCGCAACGGACACUUCCCAGGGCAGGUGCUGGCGGCGGCUGGGACGGAGGCGCAGGGGAGUCCCGGUCACGCGGCGGCCGCUCCCCCGAAGCCCAGGGCGCCCGCCCGCUGGGCUCGCAGGAGUUUCUGCAGGUCUCUCCCGCAGCCGCAGGGAAGUCUCUUUGCGGCGCUGGGUCCCGGCUUUCAGACAGAAAGGCUCAUUGUCCCGAAGUCCCCAGGCCGGUCUGACCGCUGCGGAGACGCCCCGACGCCCCGCCCCGCGCCGAACGGCCCAGCUGCCGGGCGGGAGAAGCCGGGACCGGGCGCGGGAGCCGGGAGGGCGGGACUCGCCAGAGAGGCAGGGCUGGUGGGGUGGGUUGUUUUUUUAUUUUAA
This 2127-nucleotide long non-coding RNA is filed under the name Callithrix jacchus (white-tufted-ear marmoset). RNAcentral describes it as "lncRNA (ENSCJAG00000070957.1)". The record is from RNAcentral. Lineage: Eukaryota; Metazoa; Chordata; Mammalia; Primates; Cebidae.